AGGCCUCCAUGGGGGAACUGAGAAGC
Molecule: non-coding RNA, 26 nt
Filed under: Homo sapiens (human)
Lineage: Eukaryota; Metazoa; Chordata; Mammalia; Primates; Hominidae
Source: RNAcentral